RNAcentral lists this ribosomal RNA (158 nucleotides) under Tomentella galzinii. Its description in RNAcentral is "5.8S ribosomal RNA". It matches the Rfam family "5.8S ribosomal RNA". From Rfam's summary of the family: 5.8S ribosomal RNA (5.8S rRNA) is a component of the large subunit of the eukaryotic ribosome. It is transcribed by RNA polymerase I as part of the 45S precursor that also contains 18S and 28S rRNA. Functionally, it is thought that 5.8S rRNA may be involved in ribosome translocation. Lineage: Eukaryota; Fungi; Basidiomycota; Agaricomycetes; Thelephorales; Thelephoraceae. RNAcentral also lists the same sequence under 1 other name. The record is from RNAcentral.
CAACUUUCAGCAACGGAUCUCUUGGCUCUCGCAUCGAUGAAGAACGCAGCGAAAUGCGAUAAGUAAUGUGAAUUGCAGAAUUCAGUGAAUCAUCGAAUCUUUGAACGCACCUUGCGCCCUUUGGCUAUUCUGAAGGGCAUGCCUGUUUGAGUAUCAUG